CACGUAGGGCGCGAGCGUUGUCCGGAAUUAUUGGGCGUAAAGAGCUCGUAGGCGGCCUGUUGCGUCCGCUGUGAAAGCCCGGGGCUUAACCCCGGGUCGGCAGUGGAUACGGGCAGGCUAGAGGUAGGUAGGGGAGAAUGGAAUUCCCGGUGUAGAGGUGAAAUUCGUAGAUAUCGGGAGGAACACCAGUGGCGAAGGCGGCGACCUGGACGGACACUGACGCUGAGACGCGAAAGCGUGGGGAGCAAACAGGG
Molecule: ribosomal RNA, 254 nt
Filed under: uncultured bacterium
Lineage: Bacteria
Description: partial 16S ribosomal RNA
Rfam family: Bacterial small subunit ribosomal RNA
Source: RNAcentral